GAUGAACGCUGGCGGCGUGCCUAAUACAUGCAAGUCGAGCGAACGGACGAGAAGCUUGCUUCUCUGAUGUUAGCGGCGGACGGGUGAGUAACACGUGGAUAACCUACCUAUAAGACUGGGAUAACUUCGGGAAACCGGAGCUAAUACCGGAUAAUAUUUUGAACCGCAUGGUUCAAAAGUGAAAGACGGUCUUGCUGUCACUUAUAGAUGGAUCCGCGCUGCAUUAGCUAGUUGGUAAGGUAACGGCUUACCAAGGCAACGAUGCAUAGCCGACCUGAGAGGGUGAUCGGCCACACUGGAACUGAGACACGGUCCAGACUCCUACGGGAGGCAGCAGUAGGGAAUCUUCCGCAAUGGGCGAAAGCCUGACGGAGCAACGCCGCGUGAGUGAUGAAGGUCUUCGGAUCGUAAAACUCUGUUAUUAGGGAAGAACAUAUGUGUAAGUAACUGUGCACAUCUUGACGGUACCUAAUCAGAAAGCCACGGCUAACUACGUGCCAGCAGCCGCGGUAAUACGUAGGUGGCAAGCGUUAUCCGGAAUUAUUGGGCGUAAAGCGCGCGUAGGCGGUUUUUUAAGUCUGAUGUGAAAGCCCACGGCUCACCGUGGAGGGUCAUUGGAAACUGGAAAACUUGAGUGCAGAAGAGGAAAGUGGAAUUCCAUGUGUAGCGGUGAAAUGCGCAGAGAUAUGGAGGAACACCAGUGGCGAAGGCGACUUUCUGGUCUGUAACUGACGCUGAUGUGCGAAAGCGUGGGGAUCAAACAGGAUUAGAUACCCUGGUAGUCCACGCCGUAAACGAUGAGUGCUAAGUGUUAGGGGGUUUCCGCCCCUUAGUGCUGCAGCUAACGCAUUAAGCACUCCGCCUGGGGAGUACGACCGCAAGGUUGAAACUCAAAGGAAUUGACGGGGACCCGCACAAGCGGUGGAGCAUGUGGUUUAAUUCGAAGCAACGCGAAGAACCUUACCAAAUCUUGACAUCCUUUGACAACUCUAGAGAUAGAGCUUUCCCCUUCGGGGGACAAAGUGACAGGUGGUGCAUGGUUGUCGUCAGCUCGUGUCGUGAGAUGUUGGGUUAAGUCCCGCAACGAGCGCAACCCUUAAGCUUAGUUGCCAUCAUUAAGUUGGGCACUCUAAGUUGACUGCCGGUGACAAACCGGAGGAAGGUGGGGAUGACGUCAAAUCAUCAUGCCCCUUAUGAUUUGGGCUACACACGUGCUACAAUGGACAAUACAAAGGGCAGCGAAACCGUGAGGUCAAGCAAAUCCCAUAAAGUUGUUCUCAGUUCGGAUUGUAGUCUGCAACUCGACUACAUGAAGCUGGAAUCGCUAGUAAUCGUAGAUCAGCAUGCUACGGUGAAUACGUUCCCGGGUCU
RNAcentral lists this ribosomal RNA (1371 nucleotides) under uncultured bacterium. RNAcentral's name for it is "bacterial SSU rRNA". It matches the Rfam family "Bacterial small subunit ribosomal RNA", at positions 28 to 1381 of the family's 1533-position model. The record is from RNAcentral.